Gadus morhua (Atlantic cod) is the source of this 1331-nucleotide long non-coding RNA. RefSeq lists it as uncharacterized. NCBI's taxonomy places the organism in Eukaryota, Metazoa, Chordata, Actinopteri, Gadiformes, Gadidae. The record is from RefSeq and is a predicted model, not a curated record. The transcript has 3 exons.
CUAGCUGACCCCGUGUUGUUCUGUGUCCCCGACGGCUAGCUGCGCAGCGGGCGGAGGAGGAGCUGAGGAAGGUGGAGGAGGCCUACGACAUCGCCAACACGGAGAUCAGUGACCUGAAGGAGAGGCUGAACGCAGACUACGGCCCAGAGAGGGAGUUCCUGUACCUCAGCAGCCAAUGCUUCCAGCUCAAGGUGUACGACGAGUACACCUACACCCUGUGUCCCUUCAACCAGGUCUCCCAGACCAGCGAUGCUGGGACUGAGUUCUUGCUAGGGUAAGUGGGCGGAUGACAGUUUACUUUAGUUGGGUGGUUUAUAAAUCAGGGACAAGCUACAGUAAUGCAUGUGUCCCAAGGUCACAGAAGUAUUGUACCGGAUGAGGCAUCCUGCUCAUUUUCAGAUCUUCAUAUCGCCCUACGUAUAAUAUAGAAUAUAACAGGCUAGAAUACAACAUAACAUAAAACAUUUCAUCUUAGCUACAGAAGGAACACAACAAAACUCACUUGCUCACACACACACACACACACACACACACACACACAUAAACACACAAAAACACGCAGACGCACACACAAAGGUAUCAGAUAUAGUUAUGUGGAUUUGUUACUUUUACAUUGUUUAAGCGUCACUGGAGAAACAUAUGUAAAUCGGCAGAUUUUAAGGUCGUUGGGGAGUUUACAAACACACACGCACACACACACACACACACACACACAGACACAGACACACACACACACAUCUACCUACGAUGCAGCAGCAGGGGGUGACGGUGACUAUAUCUACAUGAUUUUAUCCGUGUUCCCUCUGCAGUCGUCUGGCGUUUCAUCCCACUGCGCUCUCUGUGCUCGUUUGUCUGCUCAUUAGCGAGGGGAGCUGUGGGACUUUGAACCCAAAAAGAAUCUCAGCGUUUUUAAUUAUUUUUGCUUUGUAUAUUUUAGAGCCAAGAUACAAAAAAAACACCUUUGUUUGGUUUUUUGUCGUCGCUUUCUUUCAAUGAGCGCCUCCUCCGCUGGCGGUGAGAGACUUCGGUGCCUCCGCUAACAACCUGAAUCCACACGGGGCUUUUCAUUUACGGAGAUCCGAACCCACCUCUAGGCGCACCCCAACCGGUUCAGACUCCACCCUGAACCCACGUCGCCGCCGCCGCCGCCGCCACCGCAAAGUCUGUAUAAAGUUACCCGGGCGGAGACGUUUUCGCUAUGGAUUUUUUUUUCUCGGGUUUCAUUUUUCCGUUGUUUUUAUUUUUAUCGCCAUUCAAUCCGAUGUUCCGCGUCACAUGACCCUCCGAUCGAUGGCGGAGGGAUCUCCGUUACGCCGUGAAUACCUCCCCGU